UGGGGAAUAUUGGGCAAUGGGCGCAAGCCUGACCCAGCCAUGCCGCGUGAGUGAUGAAGGCCUUCGGGUCGUAAAGCUCUGUGGGGAGGGAAGAAACCUCCUUGGCUAAUAUCCAAGGAAGCUGACGGUACCUCCUUAGCAAGCACCGGCUAACUCCGUGCCAGCAGCCGCGGUAAUACGGAGGGUGCAAACGUUGCUCGGAAUCAUUGGGCGUAAAGCGCACGUAGGCGGUCCGUUAAGUCGGGUGUGAAAGCCCCGGGCUCAACCCGGGAAGUGCAUUCGAAACUGGCGGGCUUGAGUAUGGAAGAGGGUCGCGGAAUUCCCGGUGUAGAGGUGAAAUUCGUAGAUAUCGGGAGGAACACCAGUGGCGAAGGCGGCGACCUGGGCCAAUACUGACGCUGAGGUGCGAAAGCGUGGGGAGCAAACAGGAUUAGAUACCCGCGUAGUCC
This 449-nucleotide ribosomal RNA is filed under the name uncultured bacterium. Its description in RNAcentral is "bacterial SSU rRNA". It matches the Rfam family "Bacterial small subunit ribosomal RNA", at positions 355 to 796 of the family's 1533-position model. The record is from RNAcentral.